Molecule: non-coding RNA, 313 nt
Organism: Pelobates cultripes (western spadefoot toad)
Lineage: Eukaryota; Metazoa; Chordata; Amphibia; Anura; Pelobatidae
Source: the annotation of a GenBank genome assembly
CUCAGUUUGAACAAUGAAAGUGAAUACCCUGCACUCAAACCCUCUCUCAAAUGGAUAAUUCUGGUGAUCCUCCUGACAGCCAUGCUUUAGAUUUUGACUCUAGAGAACCUCAGGCAAAUCGCACAUCACCGUGGCGGCGACUUUGCAUGCGGAUGUCAUCCAUAUCAACUUUCGAUGCCAGUUUCUGCGCCUACCAUGGUGACCACGGGGAAUCAGGGUUCCAUUCCGUACAGGGACCCUGAGAAAUGGCUACCACAUGCAAGGAAGGCAGCAAGCACAAAUGACCCACUCCCGACGCAGGAAGGUAGUGAAG